UGAGCAAUCUAUCCAAUUCUGGAUGUUUCUUUAGUGGUUCUUUGUGCUCACGUAGCCCACGAUAAUGGUGGAAUGCCCAAUAUUUCUCAAGGCCAUAAAUAUUGCCUUUAUGAUAGAACUCAAGAGUGAGCUCUUCAAAAUCCUUGUAUAAGUCCUCUCUGAAUUCGCUCUCCAAACCAUAACUAUAGAACCUGAAAAGGCACUCUAUCCCAUAAUUGUAAUUAGCAGAUGCAUCUUCCAGAGCUAAUUUCCGGAACUCAUUAUACAUGGAAGGAACAAACAUAUCUCUAAGGAAAUAUGACCAAAACCUAUACAGCGUAUUCAUUUCCUCACUGCAACCAACUCCCAUUUUCUUUCUGUCGCUUAGGCACCGCUUAUGAAACUUCAGGUACUUCUGCUGUUUAAAGCCAUUUUCUUCUAACAACUGAUGACUUGGAUGCUGGAAUGGGAGAAAUGACUUUGGCAUGGAACCCACUGGUGGACUACUGCCUGACAGAGUGCUAUGUGGCGAAGCACUCAACUUUGAUGACCUAGGACCAUGAUUUUCAGGAGGUGUAGAACUAAAGAAAAAUCCAACUGAAUUACUCGGUGGACUUUCUGAUAUGAUCCCAAAAGAAUUACGGCCGGUUCCAUGAUUUCUAAAGUUGCAGGAGAAGAAGCGCUGCUUAUGAGAUGAUUGCUGCUUAGAAAAACUUUUACUGUGUUUCCUUAAAUUAGUAGUGCUUCCAGACUCUUCAUGGCCACCACAUCCAGUGGGAAUUUCACCAGUCUUUGAAUGUGAUACUCCUGGAGCACUAUUUGUAAAUCUUGAGUUCCCAUCUCUGUUCUCAAAACUAGAAUUAUUCUUUCUGCGAUUAGAUCGCUUAGUUUUAAGCUCCUGUUCAUAGAAAUAAAGACCAUCAUUAAUUGCAGAAGCAAGCUCCUUGGAAAUGGAUUUUGCAUCUUUACCACCAGUUUUGAAUCCUUCACUUGGUCUGCUAUUCUGGGUGACAAUCACAAGUCUUUGAACAUCCUGAUCAUUGACCAAUAUCUCAUCUUCUUCAUCAUCAAUCCUUCUAACUGGACACACACAAUCGCUCUUCUGUGUUUUCUGCUCAAGCUCCAGCUCUUCAUCAAGCAUAAAUGUGUUUGCAAAAUCACUAGACAGAUCACCAAGAUUUUGCGAAGCCAAAUGUAAUGAAAUUCCCAUGCCAUCAGCUGCAUGAUACUUUGAAACUGCAGGCUCAGUUCCAUCAGAAUGGGCUACAUAUGCAGCAUUGCAGCUGCUGUCAAGAUAAGAAAGCUUAAUGUUCAAGUCAGCAACUGACUUUUCAUUUGGAUCUGCAUUGGCACCACCCAUUGCCUGUUUUACAGCAUGAACAGAUGCACUUUCAUCUUCCUUUGUACCUAUAUGUAUUAUUUCCGGAGCCUCUCCAUUUGACAAUGUGUGCUCCGCAAGACCUGCAUUAUUAUGUAAUGAAAAGUCCACAUUUUGUUUUGAGAUACCCCUUGCAUUGUCUUCAUUAGCAGGAUUUACAAGUUGGGACUCAGAAGUCUGAGUUUUUGAUGAUGAUGUAUAUUCUGCAGAAGCUGGAAUCCACUUUAACCACUCAUCACGUCUCCGAAUCUUGUCACCCUGAACUUCCACUGUACUUGAACUUUGUAGUGCAUCAAGGAUAAACAGUAUAUCUGUAGUCAUUUUCUUAACCCUGUUAAAGUCAGCAAU
RNAcentral lists this unclassified non-coding RNA (1705 nucleotides) under Hevea brasiliensis (rubber tree). Lineage: Eukaryota; Viridiplantae; Streptophyta; Magnoliopsida; Malpighiales; Euphorbiaceae. The record is from RNAcentral.